ACACACACACACUUCUGCUGCUGCUUCCGCCGUGAGCAGCACGGGAGUCAAGCCUGCUUAGAAAAAUGUCCCCGAUUGUUUUAAACUGACAACACUGGGCACAUGCUGGCAAGUAUUAACACCAACAAUACCAGCAGCCUCACUUGCAUUGACAGCACUAGAAGCAGCUUUUUUUUGAAGGGGGGGGGGUCCCCUGUGUAGCGAUCACCGGCUGCAACGCUGAGAGAGGUCCACUGCCAACUAGAAGCCUUUCAUAUACUGCUUCCCAAGGACAGCGGCUCCGAGAUGGGCUGCUCCUCAGGCCGCCAGCCCCCUGCCCCGGUCUUUCACCCAGACUUAGGCUGCGGCAACGGUAGCGAGGCCAACACCUUACCACAGGACUCUGAAAACCAGAACCAGGAUUUGAAUGGCUGCGCAGAAAGAGAGGAAGAGGAAGGCAGCGUUGACAGAGACAAAGUGAAACCUCCAGAAUCCCUCCCGACGCUCGAGAGACUCGCCCAGGCUACAGGUGGAACGGAAAAGUCCUGGUACCGCUGCGUGUUCCCGUUUGGCGUGAUUUCAUUAGUGAUCGGCAUGGCUGGCACCGGGGUCACUUUCACCUUCAACACGCUGCUCCAGACCAAAGUUGUGUCCGUGGCACUGCUGUGCGCGGGUGUUGUGAUGCUCCUUGUUGCAGCUGUUUGCUGGAGGGCCCACAGACUGAGAAGGAGGAAAAAGAAGGAAGGGGGAUUCUUCAGUACUGAUCAGGGUAUUUUGUGAUGGAGCGAAACCUCACUACCAGAUAAUAGUAAGUUGGGAGCCAUUGAAGUUCAACUGAAUACAAAACAUAUGUAGGAACAUCCACACUUUUCUUCUAUGCAUCAUGACAAGGUGAUAAGGCAGGUAAAAGAGCUGAGUAAUAUACAUGAGAUUAAGGCAGGUAAAAACUUUUGACACUGCUGACUAAACAAGUAGAGGAAAGUAGAAAAUGCAAAUGUAGCAUUGGUCCAUUAUUACCCUGAGCGUGCCUCGCUCAGAACUUCCUUUUUUCUCUCAUUUUCUUUCCCAUUAUGGAUUUCUUGGGGCUCGAGUGGAGCACAGAGCCUGGAGCAUACUUCAUAUAAUUUAUUUCAGACUGGCCUCUGGUGUCACAUAAGAGUGACAGAGUGAUAGGUGCCUGAGAAAUAUUAUUUAACACCUCCCCUGCAGUUUGACAGGGCACGGUCUCCCUCAAGAGGUGUGCCUGACAGAAGGUGAUGUCUAUAAACAGAUGCCUGUGAGGAACAUCUGAAUAAACUUGGAAAAUGAGGAACUGUCUGGAAGGAAUUGUAAGUCUUUCAUGUUUGCUAGUCCAAACUUUGCAAUUGGUUGACAGAACAGUUUUCCCACCAAUGUCAGGACCUCACGCCCCUGCCUGAUUUAAAAUCUGGCAUGGCUAAAAGAAAUAAAUGAAACAUUAUCUUCCCUCCUUUAGACUUGAACCUCCUAGUCUUUGACUGCUCCAGAGCGUCAUUAGAGGAAAGUGCCUCACGCAGUCGGGGGUUGUGUAUGAAAGGAAAGCAGGGACCCAAACAAAAUCAUGUGAAUGGAGCGAGCGUGUAAAGCACAUUUUCCCCAGGGUGAAAAACUCUUCACAUGCACUUGCCUGCAAUUUUGUGGAAUAAAGGUCAACUAAUUUCCUUCCUGCCACCAAGCUUUACGGUGGGAAAAAACGUAAUCCAGCUGUGCCGGAUCAAUAGAAAAACCAGCACUCCGUGAAGUAUUUAGCUUUGAAGGUAAUUCCACUACGUUUUCAGUCUCCACGGAUGAAAUAGCUUUCCUCAGCCCUCUUGGCCUGUCCAUGAGGAGUUUUGUAUUGACAAGGAAAUCCCAUUAUAGAACAACAGCCGAGAAAAGCACACAGCUCAUCCUUGUCCUUGCCUCUACCUGAUUCCUCUUAUACGGCCUUAUGCUGAACCAAACAGAGGCGACCCAAUUGGUGUGAGCAUUGUAGAAGAAUCAAAUUUCCCUCCUUUUUUUGCCUUUCAUUUCCCCUGCUUUGUAAGGAAGGGUUUACUAUUUUGUUUAUAUGUGUUGAAAAUUGAUAUCAGCCCAACACCUUCCCAUGGGCACAAGACUUAACCGACAAUUUCCAGUGGAGCAGGUUAGCUUUAUAACAGAAUGGUAGCUAUUGUAAAACCCGUCUCAAUGCAUUUGUCCUGGAUAUUGUACUUUCUUGAGCACUGUACACUAGGAUCACAUGAAUAAAAGUCAGAUACUUUAACUAACUAGCUGUCAAACAACAACCACAGAAAGAUCAAAUCUUUCUUGUGGGGCCAAGAUGUAGCAUUUCUCAACUACAACAGUUAGUGUAUGGUCUAAAGCAGCAGCUCAUAUGGUUUCAAGGAUGACCCAGCAGAUACUCAUCAGCUGUAGCAAUGUUGUUGUAUUUGAGCAUUGAGAUUCGAUCCCAUCUAUUUGAUGAAACAAAAAGAAGGAAAACUUUACGGGGCCUCAGGCGCGGUCAAAUCUUUUGCAUGCAAUUGCGACUGUUAUCCUGUGGAGCAGCAGCUGUUGUAAAGUGUAAUUUAUGCGGGCGUGCGCACCAAACUUCCACUUAAUUCAGUUUCUCUUGGUUUUCCUCCUACAUAUCGAUAAUCCUGUUUCAUGGGGAGCUUUCACAGUCUGCUCAUAAAACCUGAGAUGACUCCCUGGCAGUGUUGAUGUGUUCAUUCUUGUGCACAUGUUUGUUUGUCCUGAAAUACUGUGUAUUCUUAUGAAGACAUAUCUGAAGUGCUGUAGAUACUGAGUCGAGGUAAAAGUGUAGCCACAGUUCUGAAUGUACAGCCAACAGUGAGUGUCUUAUGAACAUCAAUGUACAGCCUGUAAAGACUAUAUGUAUAUUUAUAUAUCUUCUAUUUUUGAGUAGACAGAGCAAAUUUAGAUCCAUUGUGCAGUAUUCAUCUAUUCAAGACAUUUGCCCAAACUGCUGUUUUAAUUUCUAUUUCAGGGCUCUCUGGCUAUGAUUAUAUCAAGUGAGAUUCUGUGUGUUAAUUGUAAUCAUUCUAAAAUUAAAAAAGGAAACUAUCUGAUGAAAUGAAAGCCAAAAGUCCCACUGAUGUGAAGUACAUAUGAGUUAUAAUUAUAGCCAGUUUUAUCACACUCUGUUAGUAUACAUGGGUUUUGACUUGACGUUUGGUCACUUGACUUUGACUUCAAAGGCAUGGCCCAGCUUUCCUCUGAGUGACCUUUACCUGCCACAUCAAUAUGUCUCUGUUAGGUGCAGUAAAUGUACUACUGGUACCGUGAUAGAGUAGCCCAAGAGAGGCAAACGUGUUUUUUCGACCGAGUUUGUGAGUGUUUUGAUGGGCAUGAAUAUUGUAGGUGACAAUUUGAUACCGUUCCUUUUGUAAAUGAUCAGAAAUACCAAAUCUAUUUAUCCAGAAGUUUAUUUUUUGUUCUUUAAUGUGUGUAAGAUUUACAUUUGUUUACCGUGAACUGCUAAAGCACUGGAUUAAAUGCAAAAUUCACUUUUGGAAGCAAGUUUUA
Molecule: non-coding RNA, 3507 nt
Organism: Labrus bergylta (ballan wrasse)
Lineage: Eukaryota; Metazoa; Chordata; Actinopteri; Labriformes; Labridae
Source: RefSeq, a predicted model, not a curated record